GACGAACGCUGGCGGCGUGCUUAACACAUGCAAGUCGAACGGAAAGGCCCUGCUUUUGUGGGGUGCUCGAGUGGCGAACGGGUGAGUAACACGUGAGUAACCUGCCCUUGACUUUGGGAUAACUUCAGGAAACUGGGGCUUAUACCGGAUAGGAGCUCCUGCUGCAUGGUGGGGGUUGGAAAGUUUCGGCGGUUGGGGAUGGACUGGCGGCUUAUCAGCUUGUUGGUGGGGUAGUGGCUUACCAAGGCUUUGACGGGUAGCCGGCCUGGGGGGGUGACCGGCCACAUUGGGACUGAGAUACGGCCCGGACUCCUACGGGAGGAAGCAGUGGGGAAUAUUGAACAAUGGGCGGAAGCCUGAUGCAGCAACGCCGCGUGCGGGAUGACGGCCUUCGGGUUGUAAACCGCUUUCGCCUGUGACGAAGCGUGAGUGACGGUAAUGGGUAAAGAAGCACCGGCUAACUACGUG
This 468-nucleotide ribosomal RNA is filed under the name uncultured bacterium. Its description in RNAcentral is "partial 16S ribosomal RNA". It matches the Rfam family "Bacterial small subunit ribosomal RNA", at positions 28 to 507 of the family's 1533-position model. The record is from RNAcentral.